Molecule: ribosomal RNA, 119 nt
Organism: Lepisosteus oculatus (spotted gar)
Lineage: Eukaryota; Metazoa; Chordata; Actinopteri; Semionotiformes; Lepisosteidae
Source: Ensembl
UAUAGCAGCCAUAUCACCCUGCAACUCACAACUGGUAACCCACUGAAGCUAAGCAGAUGUGAGCCUGGUCAGUACCUGGAUAGGAGACCUCCUGGGAAAAACUAAGGUUGCUGCUGGAA